Molecule: ribosomal RNA, 253 nt
Filed under: uncultured bacterium
Lineage: Bacteria
Description: partial 16S ribosomal RNA
Rfam family: Bacterial small subunit ribosomal RNA
Source: RNAcentral
UACGAAGGUGGCUAGCAAGGUUCGUAUUUACUGGGCGUAAAGGGCGCGUAGGCGGAUUUUUAAUUCGGGGGUGAAAUCCCGGAGCUCAACUCCGGAACUGCCUUCGAUACUGAAAGUCUGGAGCACGGUAGAGGUGAGUGGAAUUCCGAGUGUAGAGGUGAAAUUCGUAGAUAUUCGGAGGAACACCAGUGGCGAAGGCGGCUCACUGGACCGUUGCUGACGCUGAGGCGCGAAAGCGUGGGGAGCAAACAGG